This is a long non-coding RNA of Homo sapiens (human), 369 nucleotides long. RefSeq lists it as uncharacterized. The transcript is spliced from 3 exons. NCBI's taxonomy places the organism in Eukaryota, Metazoa, Chordata, Mammalia, Primates, Hominidae. The record is from RefSeq and is a predicted model, not a curated record.
CUACUGCUGGGGCAGGCGGUGGGAACAGAUGUAGAGAGGGUAAACUUUAUUACAAGGAAUGAGGAAAAUGGAACUGAUUUUGAUAAGGGCCAUUGUCAAUCAUUAGUUCACAUGACAGCCAUGAAGGCACACAAUGAGCCUCACGUAAGCAUCAGGUACUACAUUUAGGAAGAGAGAUGGUGUGAGGAUGCAGUGGCCAGAAGAGGCAGCCCAGGGAAGAUCUGAGGUGAACCCUCUGGUUGGAAAGCCUUGGCAAAUUGGAGGAAUGAAAAGAAAAAAGAGUAAAUCUACAACAAGGAUCAGCAAACUCCAGUCUACAGGCCAAAUCCAGCCUGCUGCCUGUUUAUGUCAAUAAAGUUUUAUUGGAAC